RNAcentral lists this ribosomal RNA (495 nucleotides) under uncultured bacterium. Its description in RNAcentral is "partial 16S ribosomal RNA". It matches the Rfam family "Bacterial small subunit ribosomal RNA", at positions 28 to 507 of the family's 1533-position model. The record is from RNAcentral.
GACGAACGCUGGCGGCGUGCCUAAUACAUGCAAGUAGAACGCUGAAGGAGGAGCUUGCUUCUCUGGAUGAGUUGCGAACGGGUGAGUAACGCGUAGGUAACCUGCCUGGUAGCGGGGGAUAACUAUUGGAAACGAUAGCUAAUACCGCAUAAGAGUAGAUGUUGCAUGACAUUUGCUUAAAAGGUGCAAUUGCAUCACUACCAGAUGGACCUGCGUUGUAUUAGCUAGUUGGUGGGGUAACGGCUUACCAAAGCGACGAUACAUAGCCGACCUGAGAGGGUGAUCGGCCACACUGGGACUGAGACACGGCCCAGACUCCUACGGGAGGCAGCAGUAGGGAAUCUUCGGCAAUGGACGGAAGUCUGACCGAGCAACGCCGCGUGAGUGAAGAAGGUUUUCGGAUCGUAAAGCUCUGUUGUAAGAGAAGAACGAGUGUGAGAGUGGAAAGUUCACACUGUGACGGUAUCUUACCAGAAAGGGACGGCUAACUACGUG